GGUUAAGCGACUAAGCGUACACGGUGGAUGCCCUGGCAGUCAGAGGCGAUGAAGGACGUGCUAAUCUGCGAAAAGCGCCGGCGAGGUGAUAUGAACCUUUGACCCGGCGAUGUCCGAAUGGGGAAACCCAGUGCAAUCCGUUGCACUAUCGUUAACUGAAUACAUAGGUUAACGAGGCGAACCGGGGGAACUGAAACAUCUAAGUACCCCGAGGAAAAGAAAUCAACCGAGAUUCCCCCAGUAGCGGCGAGCGAACGGGGAGCAGCCCGGAGUCUGAAUCAGCUUGUGUGUUAGUGGAACGGUCUGGAAAGUCCGACGGUACAGGGUGAUAGUCCCGUACACGAAAGCACACAUGCUGUGAACUCGAAGAGUAGGGCGGGACACGUGGUAUCCUGUCUGAAUAUGGGGGGACCAUCCUCCAAGGCUAAAUACUCCUGACUGACCGAUAGUGAACCAGUACCGUGAGGGAAAGGCGAAAAGAACCCCGGCGAGGGGAGUGAAAAAGAACCUGAAACCGUGUACGUACAAGCAGUGGGAGCCUCUUUAUGGGGUGACUGCGUACCUUUUGUAUAAUGGGUCAGCGACUUAUAUUCUGUAGCAAGGUUAACCGUAUAGGGGAGCCGAAGGGAAACCGAGUCUUAACUGGGCGUUAAGUUGCAGGGUAUAGACCCGAAACCCGGUGAUCUAGCCAUGGGCAGGUUGAAGGUUGGGUAACACUAACUGGAGGACCGAACCGACUAAUGUUGAAAAAUUAGCGGAUGACCUGUGGCUGGGGGUGAAAGGCCAAUCAAACCGGGAGAUAGCUGGUUCUCCCCGAAAGCUAUUUAGGUAGCGCCUCGUGAACUCAUCUUCGGGGGUAGAGCACUGUUUCGGCUAGGGGGCCAUCCCGGCUUACCAACCCGAUGCAAACUACGAAUACCGAAGAAUGUUAUCACGGGAGACACACGGCGGGUGCUAACGUCCGUCGUGAAGAGGGAAACAACCCAGACCGCCAGCUAAGGUCCCAAAGUCAUGGUUAAGUGGGAAACGAUGUGGGAAGGCACAGACAGCCAGGAUGUUGGCUUAGAAGCAGCCAUCAUUUAAAGAAAGCGUAAUAGCUCACUGGUCGAGUCGGCCUGCGCGGAAGAUGUAACGGGGCUAAACCAUGCACCGAAGCUGCGGCAGCGACACUAUGUGUUGUUGGGUAGGGGAGCGUUCUGUAAGCCGUUGAAGGUGUGCUGUGAGGCAUGCUGGAGGUAUCAGAAGUGCGAAUGCUGACAUAAGUAACGAUAAAGCGGGUGAAAAGCCCGCUCGCCGGAAGACCAAGGGUUCCUGUCCAACGUUAAUCGGGGCAGGGUGAGUCGACCCCUAAGGCGAGGCCGAAAGGCGUAGUCGAUGGGAAACAGGUUAAUAUUCCUGUACUUGGUGUUACUGCGAAGGGGGGACGGAGAAGGCUAUGUCAGCCGGGCGACGGUUGUCCCGGUUUAAGCAUGUAGGCGGAGGUUCCAGGUAAAUCCGGUACCUUUUAACGCUGAGGUGUGAUGACGAGGCACUACGGUGCUGAAGUGAUAAAUGCCCUGCUUCCAGGAAAAGCCUCUAAGCAUCAGGUAACACGAAAUCGUACCCCAAACCGACACAGGUGGUCAGGUAGAGAAUACCAAGGCGCUUGAGAGAACUCGGGUGAAGGAACUAGGCAAAAUGGUGCCGUAACUUCGGGAGAAGGCACGCUGAUGUGUAGGUGAAGCCCCUGCGGGUGGAGCUGAAAUCAGUCGAAGAUACCAGCUGGCUGCAACUGUUUAUUAAAAACACAGCACUGUGCAAACACGAAAGUGGACGUAUACGGUGUGACGCCUGCCCGGUGCCGGAAGGUUAAUUGAUGGGGUUAGCGGCAACGCGAAGCUCUUGAUCGAAGCCCCGGUAAACGGCGGCCGUAACUAUAACGGUCCUAAGGUAGCGAAAUUCCUUGUCGGGUAAGUUCCGACCUGCACGAAUGGCGUAAUGAUGGCCAGGCUGUCUCCACCCGAGACUCAGUGAAAUUGAACUCGCUGUGAAGAUGCAGUGUACCCGCGGCAAGACGGAAAGACCCCGUGAACCUUUACUAUAGCUUGACACUGAACACUGGUCCUUGAUGUGUAGGAUAGGUGGGAGGCUUUGAAGCGUGGACGCCAGUCUGCGUGGAGCCAACCUUGAAAUACCACCCUUUAAUGGCUGGUGUUCUAACGUAGACCCGUAAUCCGGGUUGCGGACAGUGUCUGGUGGGUAGUUUGACUGGGGCGGUCUCCUCCCAAAGAGUAACGGAGGAGCACGAAGGUUGGCUAAUCCUGGUCGGACAUCAGGAGGUUAGUGCAAUGGCAUAAGCCAGCUUGACUGCGAGCGUGACGGCGCGAGCAGGUGCGAAAGCAGGUCAUAGUGAUCCGGUGGUUCUGAAUGGAAGGGCCAUCGCUCAACGGAUAAAAGGUACUCCGGGGAUAACAGGCUGAUACCGCCCAAGAGUUCAUAUCGACGGCGGUGUUUGGCACCUCGAUGUCGGCUCAUCACAUCCUGGGGCUGAAGUAGGUCCCAAGGGUAUGGCUGUUCGCCAUUUAAAGUGGUACGCGAGCUGGGUUUAGAACGUCGUGAGACAGUUCGGUCCCUAUCUGCCGUGGGCGCUGGAGAAUUGAGGGGGGCUGCUCCUAGUACGAGAGGACCGGAGUGGACGCAUCACUGGUGUUCGGGUUGUCAUGCCAAUGGCACUGCCCGGUAGCUAAAUGCGGAAGAGAUAAGUGCUGAAAGCAUCUAAGCACGAAACUUGCCCCGAGAUGAGUUCUCCCUGAGACUUUAAGUCUCCUGAAGGAACGUUGAAGACGACGACGUUGAUAGGUCGGGUGUGUAAGCGCAGCGAUGCGUUGAGCUAACCGAUACUAAUGAACCGUGAGGCUUAACCUU
This 2904-nucleotide ribosomal RNA is filed under the name Enterobacter hormaechei. RNAcentral describes it as "23S ribosomal RNA". It matches the Rfam family "Bacterial large subunit ribosomal RNA". Lineage: Bacteria; Pseudomonadati; Pseudomonadota; Gammaproteobacteria; Enterobacterales; Enterobacteriaceae. The record is from RNAcentral.